GCCGAAGUGGCGUAAUGGCAGCGCGGCUGACUCGUAAUCAGCAGGUUGGGGGUUCAAUUCCCCCCUUCGGCU
RNAcentral lists this transfer RNA (72 nucleotides) under archaeon. RNAcentral describes it as "tRNA-Thr". It matches the Rfam family "tRNA". Rfam says of the family: Transfer RNA (tRNA) molecules are approximately 80 nucleotides in length. Their secondary structure includes four short double-helical elements and three loops (D, anti-codon, and T loops). The record is from RNAcentral.